This 497-nucleotide ribosomal RNA is filed under the name uncultured bacterium. RNAcentral describes it as "partial 16S ribosomal RNA". It matches the Rfam family "Bacterial small subunit ribosomal RNA", at positions 28 to 507 of the family's 1533-position model. The record is from RNAcentral.
GAUGAACGCUGGCGGCGUGCCUAAUACAUGCAAGUCGAGCGAACAGAUGAGGAGCUUGCUCCUCUAACGUUAGCGGCGGACGGGUGAGUAACACGUGGCUAACCUACCUAUCAGACUGGACUAACUUCGAGACACCGGAGCUCAUACCAGAUAAUAUAUUCAACCGCAUGGUUCAAUGGAGAAAGACGGCUUUGCUGUCCCUUAUAGCUGGAUCCGCGCCGCAUUAGCUAGUUGGUAAGGUAACGGCAUACCGAGGCAACGAUGCGGAGCCGACCUGAGCGGGAGAGGGGCCACGCUGGAGCGGAGACACGGCCCAGAGGCGUAUGGGAGGCAGCAGUUGCGAAUAUGCGGGGAUGGGGGAGAGCAUGUCGGAGCAAGGCCGCGUGAGUGAUGAAGGUCUUCGGAUUGUAAGAAGCUGGUAUUAGGGAAGAACAAAGGUGUAAGUAAGGAUGCACGUAGUGACGGUACCUAAUGAGAAAGCCACGGCUAACUACGUG